GACAGAGGGUGCAAACGUUGUUCGGAAUUACUGGGCGUAAAGCGAGUGUAGGCGGUUUGGAAAGUCGGAUGUGAAAGCCCCGGGCUCAACCCGGGAAGUGCACUCGAUACUCCCAAGCUAGAGUAUCGGAGAGGUUGGUGGAAUUCUCGGUGUAGAGGUGAAAUUCGUAGAUAUCGAGAGGAACACCGGUGGCGAAGGCGGCCAACUGGACGAAUACUGACGCUGAGACUCGAAAGCGUGGGGAGCAAACAGG
RNAcentral lists this ribosomal RNA (253 nucleotides) under uncultured bacterium. RNAcentral describes it as "partial 16S ribosomal RNA". It matches the Rfam family "Bacterial small subunit ribosomal RNA", at positions 524 to 776 of the family's 1533-position model. The record is from RNAcentral.